GCUUGCUGUUGGUGGAUGAGUGGCGAACGGGUGAGUAACACGUGAGUAACCUGCCCCUGAUUUCGGGAUAAGCCUGGGAAACUGGGUCUAAUACCGGAUACGACCUCCUGACGCAUGUUGGGUGGUGGAAAGUUUUUCGAUCGGGGAUGGGCUCGCGGCCUAUCAGCUUGUUGGUGGGGUAAUGGCCUACCAAGGCGACGACGGGUAGCCGGCCUGAGAGGGCGACCGGCCACACUGGGACUGAGACACGGCCCAGACUCCUACGGGAGGCAGCAGUGGGGAAUAUUGCACAAUGGGGGAAACCCUGAUGCAGCGACGCAGCGUGCGGGAUGACGGCCUUCGGGUUGUAAACCGCUUUCAGCAGGGAAGAAGCGAAAGUGACGGUACCUGCAGAAGAAGUACCGGCUAACUACGUGCCAGCAGCCGCGGUAAUACGUAGGGUACGAGCGUUGUCCGGAAUUAUUGGGCGUAAAGAGCUCGUAGGUGGUUGGUCACGUCUGCUGUGGAAACGCAACGCUUAACGUUGCGCGUGCAGUGGGUACGGGCUGACUAGAGUGCAGUAGGGGAGUCUGGAAUUCCUGGUGUAGCGGUGAAAUGCGCAGAUAUCAGGAGGAACACCG
Molecule: ribosomal RNA, 620 nt
Filed under: Brevibacterium epidermidis
Lineage: Bacteria; Bacillati; Actinomycetota; Actinomycetes; Micrococcales; Brevibacteriaceae
Description: bacterial SSU rRNA
Rfam family: Bacterial small subunit ribosomal RNA
Source: RNAcentral